RNAcentral lists this ribosomal RNA (224 nucleotides) under uncultured bacterium. RNAcentral's name for it is "partial 16S ribosomal RNA". It matches the Rfam family "Bacterial small subunit ribosomal RNA", at positions 521 to 744 of the family's 1533-position model. The record is from RNAcentral.
UAAGACGAACCGUGCGAACGUUGUUCGGAAUAACUGGGCUUAAAGGGCGCGUAGGCGGGCUGUCCAGUCUGGGGUGAAAUCCCGCGGCUCAACCGUGGAACUGCCUCAGAUACUGACGGCCUCGAGGGAGGUAGGGGCGUGCGGAACUGUAGGUGGAGCGGUGAAAUGCGUUGAUAUCUACAGGAACUCCGGUGGCGAAGGCGGCGCGCUGGACCUCUUCUGAC